UACAGCCAUAUCAUGUUGAAACUUCAAUUCCUGUAUGAUCACCGAAGUUAAGUAAUGUCGAGCCUGGUCAGUAUGUAGAUGUGCGACAGCUUGGGAAUACCAGGUGCUGU
This is a non-coding RNA of Acanthosepion pharaonis, 110 nucleotides long. Lineage: Eukaryota; Metazoa; Mollusca; Cephalopoda; Sepiida; Sepiidae. The record is from the annotation of a GenBank genome assembly.